Molecule: transfer RNA, 64 nt
Filed under: Cavia porcellus (domestic guinea pig)
Lineage: Eukaryota; Metazoa; Chordata; Mammalia; Rodentia; Caviidae
Rfam family: tRNA
About the family: Transfer RNA (tRNA) molecules are approximately 80 nucleotides in length. Their secondary structure includes four short double-helical elements and three loops (D, anti-codon, and T loops).
Source: Rfam by way of RNAcentral
GGGGAUUUAGCUGAGCAGCAUAAGCACCUGCCUUACAAGCAUGCAGUCAUGAGUUCAAUCCCUA